Molecule: ribosomal RNA, 253 nt
Filed under: uncultured bacterium
Lineage: Bacteria
Description: partial 16S ribosomal RNA
Rfam family: Bacterial small subunit ribosomal RNA
Source: RNAcentral
GACAGAGGGUGCAAACGUUGUUCGGAAUUACUGGGCGUAAAGCGCGUGUAGGCGGUCGUACAAGUCGGGUGUGAAAGCCCAGGGCUCAACCCUGGAAGUGCAUUCGAUACUGUAUGGCUAGAGUCCCGGAGAGGAUGGUGGAACUCUCGGUGUAGAGGUGAAAUUCGUAGAUAUCGAGAAGAACACCGGUGGCGAAGGCGGCCAUCUGGACGGUGACUGACGCUGAGACGCGAAAGCGUGGGGAGCAAACGGG